UUCGGUCGUGGCGGCGAGUGGCGAACGGGUGAGUAAUGUAGUCGGAACGUGCUAGUANCGGGGGAUAACUACUCGAAAGAGUGGCUAAUACCGCAUACGCCCUACGGGGAAAGGGGGGGAUCGAAAGACCUCUCACUAUUAGAGCGGCCGAUAUCGGAUUAGCUAGUUGGUGAGGUAAAGGCUCACCAAGGCGACGAUCCGUAGCUGGUUUGAGAGGACGACCAGCCACACUGGGACUGAGACACGGCCCAGACUCCUACGGGAGGCAGCAGUGGGGAAUUUUGGACAAUGGGGGAAACCCUGAUCCAGCCAUUCCGCGUGUGCGAUGAAGGCCUUCGGGUUGUAAAGCACUUUUGGCAGGAAAGAAAUCGCAUCAAUUAAUACUUGGUGUGGAUGACGGUACCUGCAGAAUAAGCACCGGCUAACUACGUG
RNAcentral lists this ribosomal RNA (432 nucleotides) under uncultured bacterium. RNAcentral's name for it is "bacterial SSU rRNA". It matches the Rfam family "Bacterial small subunit ribosomal RNA", at positions 79 to 507 of the family's 1533-position model. The record is from RNAcentral.